GUGUCAGCAGCCGCGGUAAUACGUAGGUGUCAAGCGUUGUCCGGAUUUAUUGGGCGUAAAGCGCCCGCAGGCGGCUUGGUAAGUUUCAAGUGAAAUCUCCUGGCUUAACUGGGAGGGGUCUUGAAAAACUAUCAGGCUUGAGGCAGGGAGAGGGAUGUGGAAUUCCCGGUGUAGUGGUGAAAUGCAUAGAUAUCGGGAGGAACACCAGUGGCGAAGGCGGCAUCCUGGCCCUGUCCUGACGCUCAGGGGCGAAAGCGUGGGGAGCAAACCGGAUUAGAAACCCUGGUAGUCC
RNAcentral lists this ribosomal RNA (292 nucleotides) under uncultured bacterium. Its description in RNAcentral is "partial 16S ribosomal RNA". It matches the Rfam family "Bacterial small subunit ribosomal RNA", at positions 505 to 796 of the family's 1533-position model. The record is from RNAcentral.